This 278-nucleotide unclassified non-coding RNA is filed under the name Hevea brasiliensis (rubber tree). The record is from RNAcentral. Lineage: Eukaryota; Viridiplantae; Streptophyta; Magnoliopsida; Malpighiales; Euphorbiaceae.
GGUUAUUAUUCGAUUGAUUUGCACCUGGUUGCUGGUGAUGCGACUCCCAUCAGUGCGAAUAUCUUUCCGAUUCAAGCUUGAAGGCUUCAACCUUCCAGCAGCAAGCCGUGCAACCAAUCUUCGACGGACAAUUAAGCUCGCUCACAAGACAAUCGACUGUCGACAUCCUUCAAUCUCCGGCGACCCUCAGCGCCGGCUGCAACCAUAUUGAUUUUUAAGGAACGACAAUUUGAGUUUGAGGUGAUUUCGAUCAUAAGCUCAUAUAAAUUUCACCAAAG